This 429-nucleotide ribosomal RNA is filed under the name bacterium. RNAcentral's name for it is "partial 16S ribosomal RNA". It matches the Rfam family "Bacterial small subunit ribosomal RNA", at positions 355 to 776 of the family's 1533-position model. RNAcentral also lists the same sequence under 1 other name. The record is from RNAcentral.
UAGGGAAUCUUCCACAAUGGACGCAAGUCUGAUGGAGCAACGCCGCGUGAGUGAAGAAGGUUUUCGGAUCGUAAAGCUCUGUUGUUGGUGAAGAAGGAUAGAGGCAGUAACUGGUCUUUAUUUGACGGUAAUCAACCAGAAAGUCACGGCUAACUACGUGCCAGCAGCCGCGGUAAUACGUAGGUGGCAAGCGUUGUCCGGAUUUAUUGGGCGUAAAGCGAGCGCAGGCGGAAUGAUAAGUCUGAUGUGAAAGCCCACGGCUCAACCGUGGAACUGCAUCGGAAACUGUCAUUCUUGAGUGCAGAAGAGGAUAGUGGAAUUCCAUGUGUAGCGGUGGAAUGCGUAGAUAUAUGGAAGAACACCAGUGGCGAAGGCGGCUCUCUGGUCUGCAACUGACGCUGAGGCUCGAAAGCAUGGGUAGCGAACAGG